GAGUUUGAUCCUGGCUCAGGAUGAACGCUAGCGGGAGGCUUAACACAUGCAAGUCGAGGGGCAGCACGAGGUAGCAAUACUUUGGUGGCGACCGGCGCACGGGUGAGUAACAGGUAUGCAACUUACCCUGUACCGGGGGAUAACCCGAAGAAAUUCGGACUAAUACCCCAUAAUAUUACCGGGAGGCAUCUUUUGGUAAUUAAAAUUCAGGUGGUACAGGAUGGGCAUGCUCAACAUUAGCUAGUUGGUAGGGUAACGGCCUACCAAGGCUACGAUGUUUAGGGGGCCUGAGAGGGUGAUCCCCCACACUGGUACUGAGACACGGACCAGACUCCUACGGGAGGCAGCAGUGAGGAAUAUUGGUCAAUGGGCGCAAGCCUGAACCAGCCAUCCCGCGUGCAGGAAGACGGCGCUAUGCGUUGUAAACUGCUUUUCUGGAGGAAGAAACGCCGCGACGUGUCGUGGUUUGACAGUACUUCAGGAAUAAGCAUCGGCUAACUCCGUGCCAGCAGCCGCGGUAAUACGGAGGAUGCGAGCGUUAUCCGGAUUCAUUGGGUUUAAAGGGUGCGUAGGCGGACUUAUAAGUCAGUGGUGAAAUCCUGCAGCUUAACUGUAGCACUGCCAUUGAUACUGUUAGUCUUGAGUUUGGUUAAGGUAGGCGGAAUGUGUAAUGUAGCGGUGAAAUGCUUAGAUAUUACCCAGAACACCAAUUGCGAAGGCAGCUUACUGGACCGAUACUGACGCUGAGGCACGAAAGCGUGGGGAGCGAACAGGAUUAGAUACCCUGGUAGUCCACGCAGUAAACGAUGAUCACUCGCUGUUGGCGAUACACAGUCAGCGGCUAAGCAAAAGCAUUAAGUGAUCCACCUGGGGAGUACGGCCGCAAGGUUGAAACUCAAAGGAAUUGACGGGGGCCCGCACAAGCGGAGGAACAUGUGGUUUAAUUCGAUGAUACGCGAGGAACCUUACCUGGGCUUAAAUGUAGACUGCAUAGCGUGGAAACAUGCUUUUCCUUCGGGACUGUUUACAAGGUGCUGCAUGGUUGUCGUCAGCUCGUGCCGUGAGGUGUCGGGUUAAGUCCCAUAACGAGCGCAACCCUUAUCGUUAGUUGCCAGCGGGUAAUGCCGGGGACUCUAGCGAAACUGCCGGUGUAAACCGAGAGGAAGGUGGGGAUGACGUCAAAUCAGCACGGCCCUUAUGUCCAGGGCUACACACGUGUUACAAUGGCCGGUACAGAGGGCAGCUACUUGGUGACAAGAUGCAAAUCUCGAAAGCCGGUCUCAGUUCGGAUCGGAGUCUGCAACUCGACUCCGUGAAGCUGGAUUCGCUAGUAAUCGCGCAUCAGCCAUGGCGCGGUGAAUACGUUCCCGGGCCUUGUACACACCGCCCGUCAAGCCAUGGAAGCUGGGGGUGCCUGAAGUCCGUAACCGCAAGGAGCGGCCUAGGGUAAAACCGGUGACUGGGGCUAAGUCGUAACAAGGUAGCCGUACCGGAAGGUGCGGCUGGAUCACCUCCUUUCU
This 1520-nucleotide ribosomal RNA is filed under the name uncultured bacterium. RNAcentral describes it as "bacterial SSU rRNA". It matches the Rfam family "Bacterial small subunit ribosomal RNA". The record is from RNAcentral.